UACGGAAGGCAGCAGUGGGGAAUAUUGCACAAUGGGCGCAAGCCUGAUGCAGCCAUGCCGCGUGUAUGAAAAAGGCCUUCGGGUUGUAAAGUACUUUCAGUCGUGAGGAAGGUGUUAAGGUUAAUAACCUUAGCAAUUGACGUUAGCGACAGAAGAAGCACCGGCUAACUCCGUGCCAGCAGCCGCGGUAAUACGGAGGGUGCGAGCGUUAAUCGGAAUUACUGGGCGUAAAGGGCACGCAGGCGGUUAAUUAAGUUGGAUGUGAAAUCCCCGGGCUUAACCUGGGAAUGGCAUUCAAGACUGGUUAGCUAGGGUCUUGUAGAGGGGGUAGAAUUCCAUGUGUAGCGGUGAAAUGCGUAGAGAUGUGGAGGAAUACCGGUGGCGAAGGCGGCCCCUGGACAAAGACUGACGCUCAUGUGCGAAAGCGUGGGGAGCAAACAGGGAUUAGAUACC
RNAcentral lists this ribosomal RNA (453 nucleotides) under uncultured bacterium. RNAcentral's name for it is "bacterial SSU rRNA". It matches the Rfam family "Bacterial small subunit ribosomal RNA", at positions 340 to 786 of the family's 1533-position model. The record is from RNAcentral.